Long non-coding RNA from Topomyia yanbarensis, 2108 nucleotides. RefSeq lists it as uncharacterized. NCBI's taxonomy places the organism in Eukaryota, Metazoa, Arthropoda, Insecta, Diptera, Culicidae. The record is from RefSeq and is a predicted model, not a curated record. The transcript is spliced from 4 exons.
ACAGCAGCCUCUAAAUAAAACACAAACGCUCUUGCGGCCCAAUACAUAAGUCUUGUUUUCAUUUUAGUGUGGUUUAACGGCGUUUUAUUAUAUUUAGAGUUUUCGAUUGAAGGAACUGGUGGAGUUUUCUGCACUGAAAUUGCACUUUUCUUGCAGAAGUGUUGUCAAAACGCCGACACCAUGUUCCAUUGAUUGGAACUGCAAUAAAAAAGUGCAAUUCCAGUGCAAUUUCGGGGCAGAGAUUUGGCACCGAAAAAAUUGUCGGUGGAGCCAGUGCACUCACCAACACAGACCAACACCAAUCACGCAAACGUCAAAGCAAUGUUCAAAAUGGAUGGGUAAACAAACCGGUUAUCGCAGAAAACGACAGGGAUAGUACCCUUCUGUCGGAAUCGUAUUUGGUGCUCAUUGGUUUGCAGGCUUUAGACUUCAAUUCUGUCAACUAGAGGUAUGCGUUUUAUUGAUUAGUGGCUCCCGUUUCCCGGACGUGGAUUACAACCGAAGGCUGGAAUUUCCCCAAAAUAGCGGUUCCGAAGCGGCGAUCAUCUCCAGAGCCGCCACCACCUCUACGUAAAGAAGCAGUUCAGUGUGAACCAAAAAAGGGAACCGUCGAACAAGACGAAACCGUCGCCCGUUAUCACUAUCAACGAGAAGGAUUACCAGGUUCUGAAAAGCUCGGUUCCGGUGGCUCCAGUUUAGUUUUCGGCCAAACAAAUGGGGACGGGCGUUGAAUGAGCGUUGAAGUUGGUGAAGCUCGAAGGCGAUUCCAGCAUAGUAGAAGGCUACUUAAACGGAACGAAACUGUUGGCGAAAUUGCAAGGGAAUGAAAAUGUAGUAGCGCUGUAUGACUAUUGUCAUGUUCCGGAGUCUAACCAACUAAACCUGGUAAUGGAAAAGGGUGAUAAUUAUCUGCACAAAAUCCUGCAAAGCUACCGCAAGGAUAUCCCGCUGUACACGGUCAUGCAUAUUUGGUACCAGAUAGUGCAGUGUGUGCACUACAUUCACGAGCACAGUGUCAUCCAUCUGAAUCUCAAACCGGCUAACUUUCUGAUGGCAACCUGAUUGACUUUGGCAUCGCCAGCAAUAUCUCCUUCGACUCCACCAGUAUUAUGAAGUUUUCCCAAGCGGGCAUAUUCAACUAUAUCAGCCCGGAAGCUCUGAUUGACACUUGCACGGAGAAUCUGAUCACUGGGGUGCAUACUGUAUUUACUGCUGUAUAAGAGGACUCCAUUUGCCCACAUCAAGAACAACUACAAGGUAAAUGUUAUCAACAAACCCAACACGACUAUUGAUUUUCCGACGUUGCCCAGUUAUUAUCCGCCGACUUCGCUCGAAAUGCUGCAGCGAUGUCUCAAGUACGAUCCAAAGCCGAGAGCUUUGACGGCGGAUUUGCUCGACUAGCCGUUUGAUAUGGUGAUUGGGAAAUGAUGCUGUAACAACUUUACAUAUGUGUAUGUCUUAUUUUAUUUGGAACGAAAUAUAUUAUGUAUUUACGUAUUUGAUUGGUUGUUUUCCACACCUCUUCCAUCAGAUCUUUGAGUGUGACCUCCUCCAAGUUCUCUUUUAGCUUUUCUUCCGGCAUUCGCGCUACAUGUUGGUAUACUUGGUACAGUUCGUGGUGGCAGAAAUCACUAACGAACCGAUACAUACACAGGAGUAAAAUGUUGCGAAAGUGGCUUGGAAUUCUAAUGGUCGAUGUUCUAGAUCCUCUGCAUAACCGACUCGAGUCGCAAGGAACCAAUUUGCCGGGAGUGACACCACUGCUUGAUGAGUAGCAUUCAUGGAAUGCAUCUAGUAAAUAGUGGAAUACUGUUGGUUCAGAACCUUCGGAAAGAAUUCAUGGUUUGGUUCAGAAGCAGAACAGGAAAAGUUACUGAUAAUAUCUAAUGGAGUUUAAGCAGUGAACGUGAAUAGAGUGUUUCGAUUUCGUUCGACAAGGUCAAAAGGCAAACCCUUAAAAUUAUAUUCUGGCGUACGAAGAGUAGGUGGAAGGCUGGUUGGGCAACAUGUUAUGCUAUGGGAUUAUUAUUUGAUUAUGUGAAGAAUACAUCCAAUUUUCUAUUAAUUGAAAAGUGAACAGGACAAAUAAAGUAAUUUGAAAUUAGUCA